AUACGGAGGGUGCAAGCGUUAUCCGGAAUCACUGGGCGUAAAGGACGCGUAGGCGGGUUGGCAAGUCAGAUGUGAAAUCCUACAGCUUAACUGUAGAACUGCAUUUGAAACUGCUAACCUAGAGUAUGGGAGGGGGAGAUGGAAUUAGUCGUGUAGGGGUAAAAUCCGUAGAUAUCACUAGGAAUACCGAAAGCGAAGGCGAUCUCCUGGAACAUAACUGACGCUAAGGCGUGAAAGCGUGGGGAGCAAACAGGAUUAGAUACCCCAGUAGUCC
This 274-nucleotide ribosomal RNA is filed under the name uncultured bacterium. RNAcentral's name for it is "partial 16S ribosomal RNA". It matches the Rfam family "Bacterial small subunit ribosomal RNA", at positions 523 to 796 of the family's 1533-position model. The record is from RNAcentral.